CAGACCAUUUGGGACAUUGAAAUCCUGUGCCAGUGUGAACAGAGCGCGAGCGUUCAGUUGUGGAGGCUACAGCUUGUGGGUGGACAGACAUCAGGCACACCCCACGAGAAGUAGUGCAUGAUCAACACCACCCUCAGCAAGGAGAUCUGCUCUCUCACCCUCUCACUCUGGGGGCAUCUGCGGACAGCUGUUUGGGAACCUGCAGGUUCUGAACAUGGUGGUGGAGGACAGGGUGUACUGGUACCUGAAGGGGAUGGGCAAUGAGGUGGACAUCCACACUGCCUACUUCCAUGGAUGCAUUGACCAGGGCAGUAAUUAAGUGGUAACACUCCCGGCACUUGUCGAAUAAAAAUCUCCCCACUGGAGACCAGGGUUCAAUCUCUGCAGUCACAGUUUCACCCACCUGCCUGUAUCCUCUUCUGAUUUCUAUACGGUCUCAAUGAAUAAAAGGUAAGGUCCUAUAUGUGACAAGUUUUAAAAAAAUAAUUAGGUGAGGUAAACCUUUCCUGAAAUAUGCAUGAUAUGCCUUAUAUAUGUUUUCUUCAAGCUGGUUACUUACCUGUUUUUUUUUAAAUAUAUAAAAUCAAAUAAAACUUAGGGUCACAUAUAGGAACUUACCUUUUGUUCAUUGAGACCUUUUAGUCAUUGGGACCCACAGGGUUUGCAGACUUUUAUUCUAGCCCAGGAAUAACAAUGAAUCUGAAUUUCUCUCGUCCGGUGUUCCCCAGCUUAGUGGAAGGUCCUACCGGACAGUCAUGUUUCACCUAUCCUCAGCCACCUUCCAGACGGUGAAGAUGAAGCCUCAGUACCCUGGCUCCUGGUUGCUGCACUUCCACAUCAUGGCUGGUAUGGAGACCAUCUACACCACCAUUGAGAAAGGUGAGGAGUGUGUGAGUUCACUAUGUGAAGAGCGGUGUUACCUUAGCGUGUGUGUGUGUGUCUGUUUAUUUAAUCAUUUUGCUGUUACUCCUACUUGUGAAUGCUCAU
Oncorhynchus keta (chum salmon) is the source of this 987-nucleotide long non-coding RNA. RefSeq lists it as uncharacterized. The transcript is spliced from 3 exons. Lineage: Eukaryota; Metazoa; Chordata; Actinopteri; Salmoniformes; Salmonidae. The record is from RefSeq and is a predicted model, not a curated record.